RNAcentral lists this ribosomal RNA (291 nucleotides) under uncultured bacterium. RNAcentral describes it as "partial 16S ribosomal RNA". It matches the Rfam family "Bacterial small subunit ribosomal RNA", at positions 28 to 334 of the family's 1533-position model. The record is from RNAcentral.
GACGAACGCUGGCGGCGUGCCUAACACAUGCAAGUCUAGGAGAAAGCAUCCUUCGGGGUGUGAUUAAACUGGCGAACGGGUGAGUAACGCGUAGGCUACCUGCCCUAAUCUCUGGGAUAACAUCGGGAAACCGGUAUUAAUACCAGAUGAGGCCUUCGGGUCAAAGUUUCGACGGAUUAGGAUGGGCCUGCGUCUGAUUAGUUUGUUGGUGAGGUAACGGCUCACCAAGACUGCGAUCAGUAGCUGGUCUGAGAGGACGAUCAGCCACACUGGAACUGAGACACGGUCCAG